GCGCAUGGAGGGAGUAGGUAAACUCGGGCCCCUCAAGAGGGUCUCAUCUAACGAUGGAGCGGGAUCGAUACCCGUCGUGCGCA
This 83-nucleotide transfer RNA is filed under the name Emiliania huxleyi virus 156. Its description in RNAcentral is "tRNA-Leu". The record is from RNAcentral. RNAcentral also lists the same sequence under 1 other name. Lineage: Varidnaviria; Bamfordvirae; Nucleocytoviricota; Megaviricetes; Algavirales; Phycodnaviridae.